This 501-nucleotide ribosomal RNA is filed under the name uncultured bacterium. RNAcentral's name for it is "partial 16S ribosomal RNA". It matches the Rfam family "Bacterial small subunit ribosomal RNA", at positions 30 to 523 of the family's 1533-position model. The record is from RNAcentral.
AUUGAACGCUGGCGGCAGGCUUAACACAUGCAAGUCGAGCGGAGAGAGGUAGCUUGCUACUGAUCUUAGCGGCGGACGGGUGAGUAAUGCUUAGGAAUCUGCCUAUUAGUGGGGGACAACAUUUCGAAAGGAAUGCUAAUACCGCAUACGUCCUACGGGAGAAAGCAGGGGAUCUUCGGACCUUGCGCUAAUAGAUGAGCCUAAGUCGGAUUAGCUAGUUGGUGGGGUAAAGGCCUACCAAGGCGACGAUCUGUAGCGGGUCUGAGAGGAUGAUCCGCCACACUGGGACUGAGACACGGCCCAGACGCCUACGGGAGGCAGCAGUGGGGAAUAUUGGACAAUGGGCGGAAGCCUGAUCCAGCCAUGCCGCGUGUGUGAAGAAGGCCAUAUGGUUGUAAAGCACUUUAAGCGAGGAGGAGGCUACUUUAGUUAAUACCUAGAGAUAGUGGACGUUACUCGCAGAAUAGGCACCGGCUAACUCUGUGCCAGCCGCCGCCGUAA